This is a long non-coding RNA of Diprion similis, 463 nucleotides long. RefSeq lists it as uncharacterized. The record is from RefSeq and is a predicted model, not a curated record. The transcript has 3 exons. Lineage: Eukaryota; Metazoa; Arthropoda; Insecta; Hymenoptera; Diprionidae.
AAUGAAAGAACUAGAUACGACUUUGUUAAUAUUUUUUUUUACGUCAUUAAGAUAUGAUAAAAUUAAUAAAGGUAUUGUGCUUGAAGACGGUUAAGAUUGAAUAAAUAUCGAGAAUGUUGAAAAUAUCUAUUGAGCUUACAAUGUGCUUUAGCGUCGCCGUAUAAAAAGGAGACAAUACAAGAUUUUUAUGUACAAAACCCUCGACAAAACCAUACAAUCAUCUACUAUAUAAUGUAAUUGUUUAGGGCCAGACUACAUUUGAAAUCUAUGAAAACCUUGACGCCAUUUAACAUUGGAUCUUUUUUCCAUAGAAAGAUAAUUUGUACAUGUAUUUACCAAUAUCUUCUGACCUGUAACAAUUAAUAACACAUAGAUGUUGCAACUGCAUAAAAGUAUGUUAUUGAGCUUUGUAUGUCUAUACUUGUACAUAAAUAUCAAAACUUGUAUUGUAUGAAAAUUAUAC